CAGGGAAUAAUUUAAUGAGAAUUUCAGCUUUGGGGGUUGAUAGUGGAGUUGUUUGCUUCUUCCCUGA
Molecule: transfer RNA, 67 nt
Filed under: Trichys fasciculata (long-tailed porcupine)
Lineage: Eukaryota; Metazoa; Chordata; Mammalia; Rodentia; Hystricidae
Description: tRNA-Pro
Source: RNAcentral